This 513-nucleotide ribosomal RNA is filed under the name Eretes griseus. Its description in RNAcentral is "partial 16S ribosomal RNA". The stretch from base 387 to 513 matches the Rfam family "Bacterial large subunit ribosomal RNA", at positions 2473 to 2600 of the family's 2925-position model. Lineage: Eukaryota; Metazoa; Arthropoda; Insecta; Coleoptera; Dytiscidae. The record is from RNAcentral.
GUCCUCUUGAAUUUAAUUUGAGGUCUAGCCUGCCCACUGAAAUUAUUUAAAUGGCCGCAGUAAUUUGACUGUGCAAAGGUAGCAUAAUCAUUAGUUUUUUAAUUAAAAGCUUGUAUGAAUGGUUGGACAAAGUAAAAUCUGUCUCUAUUUAAUUUAUAAUAGAAUUUAAUUUUUAAGUUAAAAAGCUUAAAUUUUUAUAAAAGACGAGAAGACCCUAUAGAUCUUUAUUUAUAUUUAUAUAAUUUUAAUUUAGAAUUUUUUAUUAAUUAUAUUUUUUUAAAUUUUAUUGGGGUAAUAAAAAGAUUAAAAAAAUUCUUUUUUUAAUAUACAUUGAUUUAUGAAUAAAUGAUCCAAUAUUUUUGAUUAAAAGAUUAAGUUACCUUAGGGAUAACAGCGUAAUUUUUUUAGAGAGUUCAUAUCGAUAAAAAAGUUUGCGACCUCGAUGUUGGAUUAAAAAUUAUCUUAGGUGCAGAAGUUUAAGAUUUUGGUCUGUUCGACCAUUGAAUUUUUACA